AAGCGGAGGAACGAUAGUGGUUUAAUUCGAUGAUACGCGAGGAACCUUACCUGGGCUAGAACGCAUUCGGAAUCAGGCCGAAAGGCCUGCGCCAGCGAUGGCCGCUUGCGAGGUGCUGCAUGGUUGUCGUCAGCUCGUGCCGUGAGGUGUCGGGUUAAGUCCCAUAACGAGCGCAACCCCUACUGCUAGUUGCCAGCGGGUCAUGCCGGGGACUCUAGCGGAACUGCCAGCGUAAGCUGCGAGGAAGGUGGGGAUGACGUCAAAUCAGCACGGCCCUUACGUCCAGGGCUACACACGUGUUACAAUGGCCGGUACAGAGGGCAGCCACCCCGCGAGGGGGCGCGAAUCCCGAAAGCCGGUCCCAGUUCGGAUCGGAGUCUGCAACCCGACUCCGUGAAGCUGGAUUCGCUAGUAAUCGCGCAUCAGCCACGGCGCGGUGAAUACGUUCCCGGGCCUU
This 457-nucleotide ribosomal RNA is filed under the name uncultured Rikenellaceae bacterium. Its description in RNAcentral is "bacterial SSU rRNA". It matches the Rfam family "Bacterial small subunit ribosomal RNA", at positions 927 to 1382 of the family's 1533-position model. The record is from RNAcentral. Lineage: Bacteria; Pseudomonadati; Bacteroidota; Bacteroidia; Bacteroidales; Rikenellaceae.